UACAGAGGUCUCAAGCGUUGUUCGGAUUCAUUGGGCGUAAAGGGUGCGUAGGCGGCGCGGUAAGUCGGAUGUGAAAUCUCGGAGCUUAACUUCGAAACUGCAUUCGAUACUGCCGUGCUUGAGGACUGGAGAGGAGACUGGAAUUUACGGUGUAGCGGUGAAAUGCGUAGAUAUCGUAAGGAAGACCCGUGGCGAAGGCGGGUCUCUGGACAGUUCCUGACGCUGAGGCACGAAGGUCAGGGGAGCAAACGGG
RNAcentral lists this ribosomal RNA (253 nucleotides) under uncultured bacterium. RNAcentral's name for it is "partial 16S ribosomal RNA". It matches the Rfam family "Bacterial small subunit ribosomal RNA", at positions 524 to 776 of the family's 1533-position model. The record is from RNAcentral.